CCUACGGGAGGCAGCAGUAAGGGAUAUUGCACAAUGGGCGCAAGCCUGAUGCAGCGACGCCGCGUGAGGGAUGACGGCCUUCGGGUUGUAAACCUCUUUCAGUAGGGAAGAAGCGCAAGUGACGGUACCUGCAGAAGAAGCACCGGCCAACUACGUGCCAGCAGCCGCGGUAAU
RNAcentral lists this ribosomal RNA (174 nucleotides) under uncultured bacterium. RNAcentral's name for it is "partial 16S ribosomal RNA". It matches the Rfam family "Bacterial small subunit ribosomal RNA", at positions 338 to 524 of the family's 1533-position model. The record is from RNAcentral.